AUGGGUAUUAUGGUAAAAAUCACUAAAAACAAUUUCCUAUCUUUCCCUUAUCCCCCUGUGCUGACCUGGUCACCCCAAAUGGGGCUGUGUUUACAGGUGUCAGUGUCCUUUGAGGACAUGACCGUGGACUUCAGAAGAGAGGAGUGGCAGCACCUGGACUCUGCUCAGAGGUUCCUGUACCAGGACAUGACGCUGAAAACUACAGCCACCUCCUCUCACUGGGGGUCGUUCGAGGACGUCCCUGUGGACUUGAGCAGGGAGGAGUGGCCGCACGUGGACCCUGUACAGAGGUGCCCUGUACCAGGAUGUGACACUGGAGACCUACAGCCAACUGUGCGCAGUGGGUGAGUAAGCACAGCUGCCCUGUGCCCCUUGCCAGGGGGCCUCAGAGACGCUGCUUCCAUUCUCAGCUGCUGAAUGCUUUGGGGCAUCUGAAGUGUGUAAUGGUGUCAUCUUUUUGAUUUGCCCGAGAUACUUCAGUCCUUUUACACUUCUGUGAUUAUUACUCUAUUCCCAGGGAAAUGGGAUUACUUUCCUGAAGAGCAAAUAGAAAGCGUGGUUGAAAAGGCCUAAACCCAAUUAACUGGACCCAUCCUGUAUCGUGUCCUGUUCACAGGAACCAAGUUCCCAAACCAGAGGUCAUCUUCAAGCUGGAGCAAGGAGAGGGCCCCUGGACGUUGUGAGGAGGAAACCCCACAUCAGAGCUGCUCAGAUGUGUGACAUGAGUAGAUGGGGGACGUGGAGUAGAUCUGUUUUUCUAGGACAGGCUGAUGCCUUUGAAAGGCUCUGCAGAUAAUCUGUCUUGAACGUUCUAAGAGCGCCCGUGAUUCCCUUCCCAGAGUUCUCUGCGUCUACGAAGCGCCUUCCUGGAACCCGGGCAAUUUUGUGUUGGCUGCAGCCAUUGUAACAAGAUGGCAGCGUCGGCGGAGUGACCAGGGGUCCUUCCUGGCGGGAGCCGGCGGCAGUGGUGGGUAGCGGUAUCGCCGCCAUAACUUUCACGGCUCCCCUGUACCAGCCCCCGAAGUCGCCGUGAAGGCGAGGCCGUUAACGGGAAGCCAGAAGCCAGAGGCUCAGCCUGCUAACGGUAAGAACCCCCUCAACAGUCUGUGGGGCUGGUGAAAAGAAACCCGACAGUAGCGGCGGUCAGG
This 1148-nucleotide long non-coding RNA is filed under the name Bos indicus x Bos taurus (hybrid cattle). RNAcentral's name for it is "lncRNA (ENSBIXG00005000252.1)". Lineage: Eukaryota; Metazoa; Chordata; Mammalia; Artiodactyla; Bovidae. The record is from RNAcentral.